GAAAGGUAAGUUACUAUCAGAACCAGUUCUUCGAAGUCCAGACUUUAGCAGAUCAUUUAUUUUGCGCACAGACGCAAGCGCACACGGUGCAGGCGCAGUACUAGAGCAAGAGUUUGAAGAUGGUAAGCAUCCAAUUUGUUUUUUAAGCAAAAAGUUCAGUCCUGCUGAGAGAAAUUAUGCUGUGGUAGAAAAAGAGUGCCUAGCUAUUGUGUGGGCGGUUCAGAGUCUCAGGGUGUAUUUAGAAGGUAAACCAUUUGAAAUCGAGACUGAUCAUGCACCAUUGCAGUGGUUACAGAGGUCAAAGCUAUCUAAUCAAAGAUUGUUACGAUGGAGUCGUCUUUUGCAGGAGUUUGUGUUCUCGAUUAGGUAUAUUCGUGGUACACAGAAUUCAGUUGCAGACUCUUUGUCAAGAAUGUGUUCGGAUGAUGCGAUUGACUAAUUAUAUGCUAUAGCUUUGUGUCUGGAUAAAUAUGGAUUUAUAUAAGUCAUUUGUAUAUAGUUUGCGUUUGUUUAUUUUCAAUUUUAGUUUGUUGGUUUGGGUGGACUAAAUGUUGUUUAGUCUUAUAAGAGGGAGGUAUGUAACAAACUAAAAUUCGUUGUGUAUAAUUAUAAUUCCCCUUGGUUCACCUUUUCGGUUUAUCCUUUGGAGAGCCCCUUGUUUUAAUACUUUGACCCUUGGUUACCGUGGUAACAUAUCAAUCCUGUGGGGAGCCCCUCGUUGAUACCUUAAAUAGUUGGUAAAAGUAUGCACGGGUAGUACCCGGGAACAUCAGCCGAUAGACGUGGGCGUCAUCCCGUCUAGUGCUCAGGGGCCUGUUUUAGAAAAACAUCAGGGUCUUUUCUGUCUUGUUUUGCUGUAAAUUUUCCCGUCCCUACAGAACGUCAAUACCUGUCAGGGAAGGAGGGUUCUUGGGUGCUGAAAUAUUUCCAGCUCCUGUAUUUAUGAGUAGCCGUUUCCAUUUUCAUGGGAUAAUUUAUAGAGACCGCUGUUCUACAGUGAGUGAGUGAACUACGGCGGCCCUUUCGACACAUCUCUAAAACUACUUAUGAAUUUAUACCUGAGGGUGAUCCUCGCAGUUUUACCAAUUUAUAAUCGUCAAUGCAGAUACGUGCUUUAACUUAACAUUGUGAAACUUUGAUAUUUAUAUAAUUUGUGUCAUUUGAAAACUUAUAUUCUGUUUAUUGAGUUUAUUGAAAGAAACCUCCAAUCAGCGUGGACGAGGCCAUGGGUUAUUUACAUUUCCAAGGAAAACUUUCGUCUAAUGAAGCCUCGAUAGACCCGUGCAGCAUGUGAACUUUCUACAUGUACUUCAACUUAGUUCUGGUGGUUGCCGAUAUACCAAAACCUGACUGUAACCACGUGUUUACCUGAGGGUUUUAAACACCACGUGCACCGGAACCGGGCUGACUAUAUAGACUUUUCCUUCAUUUCAUUAUUUAAUUUGUAUAUUUUUGUUUGUUUAAUUUUUUCUCGUUGAAUUUUCUGUUUAAUUUUAUUUCAUUUUGUUAUUAAAUAUUUUGUUAAAAAUUUCA
This is a long non-coding RNA of Magallana angulata, 1533 nucleotides long. RefSeq lists it as uncharacterized. The transcript has 2 exons. The record is from RefSeq and is a predicted model, not a curated record. Lineage: Eukaryota; Metazoa; Mollusca; Bivalvia; Ostreida; Ostreidae.